RNAcentral lists this long non-coding RNA (584 nucleotides) under Homo sapiens (human). Its description in RNAcentral is "non-protein coding lnc-ARF5-12:1". Lineage: Eukaryota; Metazoa; Chordata; Mammalia; Primates; Hominidae. The record is from RNAcentral.
GUGAAGAUCUGGACUUCAGAGCAUGUCUUUGACCACUCAUGGGAAACUGUUACAACAGCUGCAAUGCAGAAAUACCCAAACCCUAUGAACCAACUGUGGUUGGAGUUGAUGUGUUGGACAGACAUGUAGAUCCCUCUGGAAAGUUGCACAGCCACAGACUUCUCAGCACAGAGUGGGGACUACCUUCCAUUGUGAAGUCUCUUAUUGGUGCAGCAAGAAUGAAAACAUAUGUGCAAGAACAUUCUGUAGUUGAUCCUGUAGAGAAAACAAUGAAACUUAAAUCUACUAAUAUUUCAUUUACAGAUAUGGUUUCAGCAGAUGAGAGACUUAUAUACAAACCACGUCCUCGGGACCCAGAAAAAACUAUUUUGACUCAAGAAGCCAUAAUCACCAUGAAAGGAGUUAGCCUCAGCAGUUACUUUGAAGAACUGAUGGCAAGUAUGAUAUCCUCAAACACUAGUAAAGGCUGAGAAGCAAUAGAAUGGGUAAUACAUAAAUUAAAUGCUGAGAUUGAAGAACUGACAGCCUCAGCAAGAGGAAGCAUAAGGACUCCAAUGGCAGCAGCAGCUUUUGCAGACAAGUGA